RNAcentral lists this ribosomal RNA (252 nucleotides) under bacterium. RNAcentral's name for it is "partial 16S ribosomal RNA". It matches the Rfam family "Bacterial small subunit ribosomal RNA", at positions 524 to 776 of the family's 1533-position model. RNAcentral also lists the same sequence under 1 other name. The record is from RNAcentral.
UACGUAGGGGGCAAGCGUUAUCCGGAAUUACUGGGCGUAAAGGGUGCGUAGGCGGUUUAUCAAGUCAGGGGUGAAAGGCUACGGCUCAACCGUAGUAAGCCUCUGAAACUGGUGAACUUGAGUGUAGGAGAGGAAAGUGGAAUUCCCAGUGUAGCGGUGAAAUGCGUAGAUAUUGGGAGGAACACCAGUGGCGAAGGCGACUUUCUGGACUAUAACUGACGCUGAGGCACGAAAGCGUGGGGAGCAAACAGG